GACAGAGGCCUCGAGCGUUAGGCGGAAUCACUGGGCUUAAAGCGUGUGUAGGCGGAUGCCUAAGUACCUUGUGAAAUCCCACGGCUCAACCGUGGAACGGCUGGGUAUACUGGGCGUCUUGAGCCAGCUAGGGGCGACCGGAACAAGCGGUGGAGCGGUGAAAUGCGUAGAUAUCGCUCGGAACGCCGAAGGUGAAAACAGGUCGCUGGGAGUGCGCCGACGCUGAGACACGAAAGCCAGGGGAGCAAACGGG
This 253-nucleotide ribosomal RNA is filed under the name uncultured bacterium. RNAcentral's name for it is "partial 16S ribosomal RNA". It matches the Rfam family "Bacterial small subunit ribosomal RNA", at positions 524 to 776 of the family's 1533-position model. The record is from RNAcentral.